This 167-nucleotide ribosomal RNA is filed under the name uncultured Actinomycetes bacterium. RNAcentral describes it as "uncultured actinobacterium partial 16S ribosomal RNA". It matches the Rfam family "Bacterial small subunit ribosomal RNA", at positions 1164 to 1330 of the family's 1533-position model. The record is from RNAcentral. Lineage: Bacteria; Bacillati; Actinomycetota; Actinomycetes.
CGGAGGAAGGUGGGGAUGAGGUCAAGUCAUCAUGCCCCUUAUGUCUUGGGCUUCACGCAUGCUACAAUGGCCGGUACAAUGGGCAGCGAUACCGUGAGGUGGAGCGAAUCCCAAAAAGCCGGUCCCAGUUCGGAUUGAGGCCUGCAACUCGGCCUCAUGAAGUCGGA